CCUACGUGCGGCAGCAGUGGGGAAUAUUGCACAAUGGGGGAAACCCUGAUGCAGCGACGCCGCGUGAGUGAAGAAGUAUUUCGGUAUGUAAAGCUCUAUCAGCAGGGAAGAAAAUGACGGUACCUGACUAAGAAGCACCGGCUACUCACGUGCUAGCAGCAGCGGUAAUAAGUAGGGGGCAAGCGUUAUCCGGAUUUAUUGGGUGUAAAGGGAGCGUAGGCGGCCAGACAAGUCAGAAGUGAAAGCCCAGGGCUCAACCCUGGGACUGCUUUUGAAACUGCAGUGCUGGAGUGCAGGAGAGGUAAGCGGAAUUCCUAGUGUAGCGGUGAAAUGCGUAGAUAUUAGGAGGAACACCAGUGGCGAAGGCGGUUUGCUGGACUGUAACUGACGUUGAGGCGCGAAAGCGUGGGGAGCAAACAGGAUUAGAUACCCGUGUAGUC
Molecule: ribosomal RNA, 440 nt
Filed under: uncultured bacterium
Lineage: Bacteria
Description: partial 16S ribosomal RNA
Rfam family: Bacterial small subunit ribosomal RNA
Source: RNAcentral